This 5981-nucleotide long non-coding RNA is filed under the name Capsicum annuum. RNAcentral describes it as "long non-coding RNA (CANN_LNC005625)". Lineage: Eukaryota; Viridiplantae; Streptophyta; Magnoliopsida; Solanales; Solanaceae. The record is from RNAcentral.
UAAUAUAUAUGUACGUAUAUAUGUUUAUUCUUCCCUAAGUAAAACUUUGAGUAAUUAUCUUUUGAAUGCAUAUACCAUAUGCAUUUGGUGAAUCCUCUUACUAGGAGUACUAUUUUUAGACUAUAUGAGCAUUAUUUAAUGGGCAAGCAGUGUAAAUUCCUGAAUAAUAUGUUUAAGUUGGUUCAAAAUUCAAAUUCAGGUCGACCCAAUACUUUGUCUUCAAAAAUACUCUAUAUAUAGUCGACUAUGUUUCCCAAAUAAUUUAACACUACUCAUUGAUUAUUACCCCCCUUUCAAAAAAUUUGGUACAUUUUACAUUUGAAAACUAUUAAUUAGUGACAUAUAACAUGUUUUAACACCACAAACUUAGAAACCUUAUUGCCAGAGAAUAUUUUUUACAAUAUAUACUCGUAUAAUAGCAAAAUUUGAGUAUUUCUUACCCUGAAUUCAAGGUCUAGCUGAUUGAUUGGAUUGGCAAUGUCAAGCAGCGCAACAGUAACAAGGUUUUCUUGGCCAUUGUUAUACAACCAAAGUGUGAAACCAGCAGGCAAUGCUAAUACAUCACCUUGUCGGAAUUGCCUGAUUUUCUGAUGGCGAUCACCGCCAUGACUUUCUGCUUCUCUGCUUUGUUCUCCUCUCGUCCUUCUCUCACUUUGUGGUGCUUCAAAUGUUUCAGCACAUCCUGGUAUUACUACUCCCAGCAAUCCCCUUCCUUCAUUCCACACACACAAAAAUUAAUUAAUUAAUGGGGCGCUACGCACAGUCACACUGAAACACAUUAAAUAAAAAUAAGGACAACUUGAGCAGUCAAAUUAAGCGACGUCCUCUUCCACUGAUGACUAUGAGAGUUGACACCUAAUGGUUUCUAAAAAUAAAAUGAAAGGGGGGAGGGAGUACAGAAUUCUUAUAUACAUUUAUAAAUUAUUAAUUUAAAUUGCUGAAAUACCUAGAAAUCACUUAGAAGUAAUUCAACAUAAAAUAAAUUAAUUAAGAAUAAUGAUUGACUCAUUUCUUUUCAUUUUUUGGAGGAGUAGAAUGAAUAAUUAAAAGAUCAUCUUUUGGAGGAGUAUACCAACAACAAAAAAAAAAGUAACAUAUUCAGUAUAAUCUGACAAAUAGGAUCUGAUGAGAAUAAAAUAUAUGUAUAGACCUUAUCUCAACAUCAUUCAAGUAGAAAACUUAAUUCUGAUAGAAACUCAUUAAAAGACUAAUCAUAUAGAUAGAUAAAGGUAAAACGCAACAUAAUAGAGAUUUGUUCACGUGAUAAGCACUCUUCAUCUUCAGUUUUAAAAUUGUGAGUUCAAAUCGAGCAAAUACAAAAUAGACGUUCUUAGCAGGAGAAUUAAAAAAAAAAAAAAAAGGGUAAGAUGCAAACCUUGGACAAUGUAGAUUAGUUGAGGAGCAUUAUUAUAAUGAGGCAAUAGUAACCCUUGAGGUUGAAUAUUAUUUCUAACAGCAGCAACUCCGGCGCAUUCAAAUUCCUCCGAGUCCCGUUCCCAGAACUCGGUGGUCCCAGCCUCCGAGUCAAACUUACGUGUCGGUUCCCGAGCAUUAAGGCUUUGGAUCUGACAGUCAGUUUUGGCUCGGGCGGGCCGGUGUUGCUGCUGUUGUUGAAGCUUCUCCCACAAGAAGCUUUGUUGUUGCUCUAUUUGGGAGAAGCAACAACUAAACAAAAGAAAAAAACACAUGAGAAGAGAGAGAAGAGAGCGUUUUUUUACUAUUUCCAUUUUCGAGCGGUGAUAUAUUAUAAGGUGAUGGUGUGAAGAGAAAAGUGUAAUUGGGAUUUGGUAUUUGUAGAAGUAGCGGGGUUAAUUUGGAUUCGACACGUAAAAUGUUGUGGUGAGACAUAUGUUUUGAUUUUUUCUGCAUGGAUAUGCAUUAAUUUACAAAAAGUUCUCGACACCUAAUAAGUUAGUAAGCUGAAAUGUGGCAAAUAUUUGCUGAAGAAAGUGGUGGGAUUUGUGUUUGUGUUUGCAUGGGUUUUUGUUUUGAUGUAGAGCACACAGAAGGAGAUGUGCUGUAAAUGCAUGUGUCCUUUUUGAGGACUAAAUACGUAAAUUCAUUUUAAAUAGUUAGAUUUUUAGCUUUGAAUUUAUUAUAAUUUUGGAAUUAUGGAUGUGUAUCUAUUAUAGUACUUUAGUACUCUUUUCGUCUAAGUGGUUUGUCAAGAUUUAUUGCCUACUUUUUUUAUAUUUCUUUAGUUACAACUUUUCACGUAACAUGUGACCACAAUAUUAUAGAAUAUUUGAUACAUUCUACGUGUUUUUAGUUUAAGACUAUAUGCAUGAUUAAAAAAUCUUCUUUUCUUGUUUCAACUCGAUUAAAUUCAGACAUACAAAUUAAAACAAAGGUACAAUACAAGAAUGUGUCCUUUAAUUUUACCUCUGACAUUUAUGUCUUCUAAUUUUGGUUGUGCACAAGUAGAUACUUAAAUUUGUAUAAAGUUGAACAAGUAAAUAGAUGCAUCCUACAUAACAAUUCACGUGAGAUUGCCAUGUAGAUGUCACACAGAUGCCAUGAAGGACGCUUGUACCUACUUAUUUAAAUUUAUAUAAGUUUAAGUGUCUACUCAUGCAUGUCAAAAAUAAAAGGCGUAGAUACCUACUGAUGUCAAAUUAAAAGGCAUGAUUAUAUAUUAGGGAAAAUGACACCUAUAACACUUUUUAAAAUAAAUAGCCCAAGUUUGAUAUCUUUCCAAAAAGUGAACAGUCGGGGACACUAUUUCUACUUUAUAGUCAUUUCCUAAUUUGGGUCAUUUUAGCCCACGUAGUUCAGAUACAGUCCAUAUACAAUAUUGAUACAGUCCAUAUACAAUAUUGAUACAAUUUUCAACUUGGGUCAUUCGGCCCUUUUAAAAACAUUUUUGUUUUUUUUUUUGCUAUAAAUUUUUUAAUUGGAAAAAUAUUCUGCUUUUUUUAUUAUCUAGAAAUAAUAAUUAAAUAUAAUUAUAUAAAAACGAUAUAAUUAUUAUAUAGAAUAUGUAUCUAUAUAAGAUAUAUCUAUCAAAUAUGUAUAUGUAUAAAAUAUAUAUAAAAAAAUAUAUAGAAAGUGUAUAAAAAUUAUAUAAUUGUUUUAUAAAAUGUGUAAAAAAAAAAUACAAUUAUUAUAUAAAUUGUGUAUCAAAACUGUAUAAUUUUCGUAUGGAAUAUUUAUAUGUAUAAGAUAUGUAAAUUGCAUAGAAGGUGUAUAGAAACAACAUAGAACAGACCAACAAAUUGAAAUAGCUAGAAAGUAAAAUUUAAAUUUCAAGACCAUUUUCGUAAAAAUACUUUAAUUUGAAGUGCCGUUUCUGUCCUUUCCCCAGCCUAAAAUAAAGGAAGCAAUAAUUUUUGUGGAUUUUUAUACAUGCAUUUAUGCACCACUUUUAAAAUUACUAAAUUCUUUAAUUCCGUCAAAUUCACAUGGUCAACAAACUUCUUUUGUAGUACUUAAUAUGACUAGAUGGAAUUGAAAAUCUUAACUAGUAUAUAGAGAAUAUUAAUUUGCUUUCUAGUACUUAGCAAAAGAUGGUUUUAAAGUGGAUGUCAAACUAAGAAAAUGUGGAGAGAAUGAAUCAGAUAAUACAAAAAAACAAAAGAGUGCGAGCGCAUACACCACUCAACUCAUUUAUUAUCAUAAUUUCAUCAAAAACUUAUUUAUUCUCUCAUAAACUUUACAUUAUUAUUGCAAAGAACAAAAACUUAAUUAGACUUUUAAGAAAGCCUCAACAGCAUUCAAAGCAUACUCCAUUGGCCUAGUUGAAUAUCAUGUUGACAUUCUUCCUGCAAAAACAGUUGCUUCCUCCCUAUUAUACUUCAAUCUCCUUCCAUCUUGCCUGGAAAUUUGAUAUGAGUUCAUCAGCACUUCUUCUGGCAUGGCCCGAAUAACCGAUAAGCGCCCGGCUAAUGGGCUUGUCAUGGCUUGAUCAUUGGUCUUGAAGGCAAUGUAUUCGAGUCCUUGGUCUCCUGCCUUUUUCACUAUCGCAAAGUUUUGUGGCACGAUGAUCAUUUGUCCCUGCCUGACCUCGCCAUCGAAGACAGAGUUCCCAGUGUCCCCGACCACCUGAAACCGACCAUUACCUCGGAUGAUGUAGAUGAUGCUGUGGGCAUUAGUGUUCCAGUAUGGUGCCAUCACUGCAUUCUGCAAAACUCAACUCAAAUGUAAUACAACACUCAAGUCAAUAACUAGGCAUAUUAUAUUCCUUGCCAGAAAUGACAUGAUAUAAAUAGGUCAAAAAUCUGAGUCGCUUAUUCUGCUACUCCAUUAGGUAAAUAAAGGCGAAAGAUAGAAGUCAAUUCGAUAAAUCGGAUAACUUUUGCUCCAACAGUAUAGCUGUAGUGAAGAAAUUACAUUAAACAUGCACAAAAUAAUUAAAUUUAGAAUCCAGUUAUUAACACUUGUAGAUAGUCAUCUUAAAAUUUACAACCCAGAAAACUAAAAUAUUAGCUCCGCCUUUGAGCAUAACAGCCCACAUCUUUAUGACGAGCUAGUAAAUAAUUUGUUCCAAAUUUGUGAAUAGUCGUCACUCUUGGUGACAAAAUACUUUCUUAAAUUUCGAGUGACAAAAUACUUUCUUAAAUUUCAUGUCAAGUCAAAAUCAGACAACUAAUUGAAACAGAUAAAGCAAUUUUCAUAGUUUAGUUAAAUAAUAUGGAUUAAAAUUUGACUUGCUUGGUAAAGGACUCCUCUUUCAGCACUAAGUUGUAGCCAAUUGAGGAUUGGCAGCUUGUUGCUAUUAAGAGUGCUGACGAGUCCUCCACGUGGAUUGUACUCGUCAGCACGGGACGGGCGGCCCAAAUUCUCUCUCAGCCACAUGGUGCAAAUAGUUUGAUCGAGCCCAUUGGGCCGUGAUCCUUCUCUUCCGGGCCUAUAGGGUUGCUCUUGUUCUUCUUCUUGUUCGAAUUCCGGGCUCAAAACAUCGAACCUCUCGGCCCGAACUAUUUGGCCCCUUUGAUCUUCUCGGCCCUCUAACCUCGUGACAAACUCCCGAUCCACAUUGAAAACCUCCGCGAGGAGAUUUGGAUCAUAUCCAUGGACAAAGUUGUCUGAUUCCUGUUCUUUUAGACUUUCGAUUUCUUCUUCGUACCUACUUCCACUUAGUCCUUUGGGAUGUGGAUUUCCUGCUAGGAAGAAAUGCUGUAAAAUAUUCAAACUAUAUUGUUAACGCCACAAAUUAACGGAAAAAAAUUAUAGAAAAAUCGCGAAUACAAAUUUAAUAUAAGUGCUAACAUGUACGUAUAUAUGUUUAUUCUUCCUAAAGUAAAAGUUCGAGUAAUUCUCUUUCGAAUGCAUAUGGUAUGUAAACUUUCAUAUCAUAUGCAUUCAGUUAAUUCUCUUACUACGAUUAUCAAUUUUAGACUAUAUAAGCAUUAUUUAAUGGGCAAGGAGGGUAAAUUCGUGAAUAAUAUGUUUAAGUUAGUUCAAAUUCAGCUCGGCCCAAUACUUUGUCAAUAGGUCAUGAAAUCGUAUAACCCCUUUGCACAUCCGAAAUACUCUAUAUAUGAUCGUCGAUGCUCUACUAUAUAUCAUAAUUACAACAAUGCUUCAUUUAUCAUUUUUAUAAAAUAUCGACUAUGCUCCCUUAUUCCAAAUAAUUUUCUAACUAUUCAUAAUUGAUUAUUACCCCCUUUAAAAAAAAAUUGGUACAUUAUCCAUUUGGAAACCAUUAACUAGUGACAUAAUAUGUUCAACACCACAAACUUAGAAACCUUAUAGUCACACAAACGUUAUGACAUUAUAAAUAUCUUUUUCACAACAUACACGUAUAGUAACAAAAUUUGAGUAUCUCUUACCCUGAAUUCAAGGUCGAGCUGAUUGAUUGGAUUGGCAGUGUCAAGCAAGGCAACAGUAACAAGGUUUUCUUGGCCAUUGUUAUACAACCAAAGUGUGAAACCAGCAGGCAAUGCUAGUACAUCACCCUGUUGAAAUUGCCUGACUUUCUGAUGGCGAUCACCGCCAUGACUUUCUGCUUCUCUACUUUCUUCUCCUCUCAUGCUUCUCUC